GGCCCGAUGGCGCAGUGGCAAGCGCGUCCACUUCGAUAGCGUCAGGAAGGCUCCUGUUCGAUUCAGGAUCGGGCCG
Molecule: transfer RNA, 76 nt
Filed under: Athelia sp. TMB
Lineage: Eukaryota; Fungi; Basidiomycota; Agaricomycetes; Atheliales; Atheliaceae
Description: tRNA-Ser
Source: RNAcentral